RNAcentral lists this ribosomal RNA (253 nucleotides) under uncultured bacterium. RNAcentral describes it as "partial 16S ribosomal RNA". It matches the Rfam family "Bacterial small subunit ribosomal RNA", at positions 524 to 776 of the family's 1533-position model. The record is from RNAcentral.
UACGUAGGGCGCAAGCGUUGUCCGGAAUUAUUGGGCGUAAAGAGCUCGUAGGCGGUUUGUUGCGUCGGCUGUGAAAUCCCGAGGCUCAACCUCGGGUCUGCAGUCGAUACGAGCAAACUAGAGUGUUGCAGGGGAGACUGGAAUUCCUGGUGUAGCGGUGAAAUGCGCAGAUAUCAGGAGGAAUACCGAUGGCGAAGGCAGGUCUCUGGGCUGACACUGACGCUCAUGCACGAAAGCGUGGGGAGCAAACAGG